Molecule: ribosomal RNA, 421 nt
Filed under: uncultured bacterium
Lineage: Bacteria
Description: bacterial SSU rRNA
Rfam family: Bacterial small subunit ribosomal RNA
Source: RNAcentral
GAGUUUGAUCGUGGCUCAGAACGAACGCUGGCGGCGUGGAUAAGACAUGCAAGUCGAGCGCUGAUUUGAGGGUAGCAAUAUUCUUAAGUCGGAGCGGCGCAAGGGUGCGUAACACGUGGGUAAUCUGCCGUGAAGUCUGGAAUAACUUGCUGAAAGGCGAGCUAAUGCCAGAUGUGAAAUUUGGAAGGCAUCUUUCGUAUUUUUAAAGUUGGGGACCGCAAGGCCUGACGCUUCACGAUGAACCCGCGUCCCAUCAGCUAGUUGGUAGGGUAAUGGCCUACCAAGGCUUAGACGGGUAGGGGACCUGAGAGGGUGACCCCCCACACUGGAACUGAAAACGGUCCAGACACCUACGGGUGGCAGCAGUAGGGAAUAUUGCACAAUGGACGAAAGUCUGAUGCAGCAACGCCGCGUGUGCGAU